Molecule: ribosomal RNA, 452 nt
Filed under: uncultured bacterium
Lineage: Bacteria
Description: bacterial SSU rRNA
Rfam family: Bacterial small subunit ribosomal RNA
Source: RNAcentral
AGUUUGAUCCUGGCUACAGAACGAACGCUGGCGGCAUGCCUAACACAUGCAAGUCGAACGAGACCUUCGGGUCUAGUGGCGCACGGGUGCGUAACGCGUGGGAAUCUGCCCUUGGUUCGGAAUAACAGCGAGAAAUUGCUGCUAAUACCGGAUGAUGACGUAAGUCCAAAGAUUUAUCGCCCAAGGAUGAGCCCGCGUAGGAUUAGCUAGUUGGUGAGGUAAAAGGCUCACCAAGGCGACGAUCCUUAGCUGGUCUGAGAGGAUGAUCAGCCACACUGGGACUGAGACACGGCCCAGACUCCUACGGGAGGCAGCAGUGGGGAAUAUUGGACAAUGGGCGAAAGCCUGAUCCAGCAAUGCCGCGUGAGUGAUGAAGGCCUUAGGGUUGUAAAGCUCUUUUACCCGGGAUGAUAAUGACAGUACCGGGAGAAUAAGCCCCGGCUAACUCCGUG